RNA transcript from Drosophila montana, 6369 nucleotides. It is a transcript of the gene named protein qui-1, with no coding region annotated. The record is from RefSeq and is a predicted model, not a curated record. Lineage: Eukaryota; Metazoa; Arthropoda; Insecta; Diptera; Drosophilidae. The transcript has 18 exons.
UAACAUUUGCCCAAAAUGGCCGCGCCCGUCGAUGAGAGCGUGCUGAAUGCGCUGCGGGGCGUGACCAGCGCCCAGACGCGUCUGCCCAAGCCGCUGCUUAUCAAGAUCUAUGUGGCCAGCCUCAAGCAGGAGUUCAAUCAGGAGCGGCGCAUGCUGCUCGAGCUGGUCGGACCCGAGUUGCAGGGGCUCUAUGAUGAUCGUCAGAUCGAGCUGGAGAUCGUGGACAUGCACUUUGGCACGGGUGCUUUGGAUGUGACGCUGCUCGAACGCGAUCCCUACUUGCUGCAGGAUCUGCUGCACGAGAUUGACACGUGCCACGCCCACUCGAAAAGCGUCUUCUUUUUAGCGCUAAUUGGCGACGGCAUUGGCCGCCCACCGCUGCCCACGCACAUCGACGAGGACAUCUAUGGGGCACUCUCUCUGCCGGCGCAGGAUAUGGAGCUGCUUGGGCGCUGGUAUGCCAAGGCAGGCGCCGAAACGCAGUUGGUGCUCAAACAGGACUAUCGCUCGCUGGCCGCGGAUGAGUGGCUGGUGGAAUCGCGUCGGAUGCAACAGCUGCUGGAGAAAUCGCUGCAACAUCUGGUGACCGCGACAAAUGGGGAUUUGCUGCGCCGCGUGCAGCUGCUGCGACGCACCCAAAUCGAGCAGGAAGUGCAGCGGGCCAUGGCACACUCCAGCGAGAAGAUACUGGCCGUGUUCCGGGAGCGUGCUGCACAGUGUAGCGGCCGCGAUGUGGAGGCCGGCGAACGUUUGCGCAAAAUCAAAGAUGAGCUGACCAUGAACCUAUCAACGGAUAAUCACACGACGCUAGUUGUGCCUGGCAGCGCCAGCAGCGAGGCCAUCGAUCCGGACAACGAGGACCACGAGGCGUAUUUAAGUAAAUUCAAGAACAAAGUCACCGACAAGCUGCGCCUGCUAAUCGAGGCGCACAUUACAAAUGAUCCCGAUGUUAUCAAGGGGAGGAAAAAGACUGUGCAGGAAAUCUUUCACGAGCAUGCCACACAUCUGCGGAUGCUGCGCGAGCACACGGAGCGCGUGGUGCUGCUGGAGACGCGAGUGCCGCAACAGCUGCAGCUGAAUCUGAUGGCGAACUACAAGAACGGCAGCCGGCAUGCUCCGUACUUUAUAUGCGGCACGCAUGGCAGCGGCAAGAGUGCGCUGAUUAGCACACUUUACGGCCAGGUGGGCGGCUGGUUUGGCACGACGCGUGUGCAUCGGGUGAUACGCUUUGCGAAGGCCACGCCCCGUUCGGCAUACAAUCUGGAGCUGUUGCGCGUUAUCUGCCAGCAGAUCUCAAUUAUAUUCAACAUACCCGAGGGCUAUUUGCCGAAGGAUGCGUCCUUCGAUCCGCUGUACAUUAGCAACUGGUUUCAGAAUCUGUUGCGUCGCAUCGAGGACAUGAACAACGAUGUUCUCUUUCUGUUUAUCGACGAUCUGCAUCUGCUGAAUCCGCUGGACUGCGACAUUGUCGCCGCACUCUCCUGGCUGCCCACGUCGCUGCCCUGGAACGUCCAGAUAAUAUGCAGCUCGACCACGCCCGUCGAACAGCUCAAGUUUACGCCCAUGCAGCGGGACAGAUUCAAGUCGGCGGAGUACCAGUUCGAUCUGGGCCUGGAGGCGAAUGCGACUCAGCUGCAGCGACCGGAGCAGUGUGCCGCAGAUGUCAGCUUUGUGGCCUAUGUGGAGCAACAGUUCGACGAGCUGGAGCAGCACUAUGGCAGGCAAGCGGUGGCCAGUCUGGCGGCCUACAUCACGUGCUCCGAGUACGGGCUGACCGAGACGGAGCUGCUCGAGCUGCUGAUGCCCACCGAUGAUCCCGAGUCGCUAAUAGACACGCACAACGGACACUUUAGCUUCGCCAGCUUCAAGAAGAUACACAAGCAAAUGGAUAAGCGCCUGCUGCUGCACGACAAGAUUAUGUCCGGCAAGGUGCUCAUUCAGUGGCGCCACAAUUACUGCGCCACGGUGGCCAAGCGACGGUAUAUGGAUGUGGAGCGAACACGUUGCCUGCACAUGGAGCUGGCCAAUUUGUUUUUCCCCCAGGACGAGGACGAGAGCACGCUGGAAAAUGAUACAACCCGCAGCGACAGCAAGUCGGUUGUCAGUCUCAAGGAGCGUGAGCCGCACAAGGAUAAGGAGAAGGAACGUGAAAAGGAUAACGUAUCGGCUGGCCGUAAAUCAUCCUCAACGCAUCACAACGACGACACAUCCACCUUUUACAAUCCCAUUGCCGCCGAUGUCUCCUACAGCAUGCGGCACGUCGAGGAGAGCUGGCAUCAUCUGAUGCGCUCCGAUGACACGACUCGCUUCAAGCAAAUCGCAGUCUGUAAUUUUGAUUUCCUGCUCGCGGCGGUGCAAACAGUAUCCAUUAGCUAUCUGCGCUGCCUAAUCGAGCACGUGCGCUGCUAUGUGCUGGACCGGGACAUUGAGCUCAUCUACUACACCAUACGAAAGUCGAGCGAUGUACUCACCCGGGAUCCCAUGCAGCUGGGCUCCCAGCUGGUCUCGUGGCUGCGUCCGAUUGGCGAGCACGACGACGACGACAACUCGCUGCUGAGCAUGACGGUCCGAUCGGCGACCGCCUGGUGCGAUGGCUAUGCGGUGCCGCUGCUGGUCCCGCUGACCGGCUGGCUGCCGGCGCCGUUGCCCUCCCAGAUACGCAACAUGACCGUCUCCGGCACCGGAGUAAUACGAGCCGUUUGCCUAGCGCCGUCACGGCAACAUCUCAUAUUGGCCACCAACUCGGGCGAUGUGCAGCUGUGGCACAUCAUGAGCAACUCGCUGGAGCACACAUACAAGGGACACACUGCGGCAGUCACGUGCCUGCUGGUGGCGCCGCAGCAGUCGCAGCUGCUGCUGACCGGCUCCGAGGAUACGACUGUUUUGGUCUGGCACGUGUCGCUGCGCGAGCGUCGAGUGCACAUUAAAGCCCACACAGCGGCAGUGACGGGCGUGGCAGCUGGUGUCAACAACACGCUGAUCAUCAGCAGCAGCGAGGACGCAACAAUCGGCAUCACAGACCUGGCCAGCGGCAAAUUGAUACAUCGCAUUAGCUUUCAUCGUGGCCCGGUUAGCGGCAUCUUGGUCGCCGGCGCCUGCGAUGUCCUCAUCUCGGCCAGCCAUGACAAGAACAUAUGCGUCUGGGAUCUGGAGAACUACGCGCUCUUGAAUACCAUGCAAAUGACGAGUCCGGUGCUGCGCAUUGAUAUCUCCUGGAAUUCGGUAUUCCUGCUGGCCCUCUGCGAGGACAAUGCGCUCUACGUGCGCACCCUGGCCACCGGCAAGGAGCUGCACACGCUCAAGGGCCACAAGUCGCGGAUACGCACCAUAUGCAUUGCGAAGGACAGCCAGCGGUGUGUGGUCGGCUGCGAGGAUACGCGGGCGCUCAUCUAUGACAUGCACUCCGGCAAAUUGGUGCGCUCGAUGCCGCCGAAUCCGGGUCCAGUUACGGCUGUUUAUGCCAUGGAGAAUGAUGAUUUUCUGAUCACCGUCGGCGGCAACAAAAUCACCUUCUAUUCGUUUCGCAACGAGGAGCUCUAUGUGAAUCCGUACUCGCGGCAUCCGCGCCGCAAGCGCAGCCUGAAGCGGCACACGCAGGCGCAGCGUUCGCCCUCGACCACGUUGCCGCCGAUCACGUGCUUCGACUUGUCGCGCGACUCGCAGCAGCUGGCGAUUGCCUCCGGCCGGAACGUGCACAUGAUGCGCAUCAAUACGCCGGAAUAUCAGAGCACACUGGAGGGACACACCUGUGUCGUCAAUUGUCUGAAAUUUGCGCCGAACGGCGAGUUCUUGGCCACGGGCGGCGAGGAUCGUCUGGUGCAGAUCUGGACUCUGGCGCUGGGCGAAAUCAAUCAUACAUUCAAGGGACAUGCGGCGCCGGUUAUGCAGCUGUUGGUGCUCAUGGACUCGCUGCGCGUCAUCUCCACGGAUCGCGAGUCCAUGAUGCUCGUGUGGAUGGCCGAUUCGGGCAAUCUGCUCCAGACCAUACAGGGUCCCUACAAGAAACUGGCCGCCACCAACAAUAUGCGCUUCGCCGUCUCCACGAACGGCGACAAUACCCUAAAGAUCUGGUCCCUCACGCAGGAGGAUGAAAAGUAUUCCGUCUCGCACUCGGACGAGAUAACCUGCUUCGAGAUUAGCGCGGACAGCAUACACAUUAUAACCGGCUCCAGGGACAUGUCGCUGAAGGUCUGGCAAUCGAUGGGCGGCAAGCUGAGCCAGGUGCUUGUCGGCCAUAGCGAUGCGGUGACCUGUGUGUCCGUCUCCGUGACCAAUAAAACACAAGUCAUCUCCGGCUCGAAGGAUAUGAAUCUGAUUAUAUGGGAUCUGCUCACCGGCGAGGAGGUGCACACAUUGGCCGGCCAUUUGGGCGCUGUCAUUGGCGUCAAGGUCUCCGCUGAUGGCUCCACGGCCGUCUCGGGCAGCGAUGACAAGACGUUAAUUGUGUGGGAAACGAAGCGUGGCCUGGCGCUCACCUCCCUGCAGAUGCACGUGCCCUUCACGCACUUCGACAUCAGCCUGGAGGUGUCCCGUGUGCUCGUCCAGCUGGUGGAUAGCUACAAUUUGCCCGUCAUCUGUUUGCAUAAUACCCCGGCGCAGUAUGUCAAGCUGCCGACCUAUUCCGGUCCCAGCAAGGACGUCGAAGAUUUGCGUCCACAGGGCCCCAAGCGGCAGAUGAAGCGGCUGCUCAAGAAGGAGGUCUCCCUGGACACAUACACCUGGCAGAAGAAAUACGGCCAUUUGACCUCCUCCGUGAUGAUGGCCCAGGUGGAUGAGCGCUUGAAGCGACGCUUCAGCGUCUCGGCCAGCAUGGAGGAGAUCUCGAAGAUAGCUGAAACCAAAACGGGCGCCUCCCAGGCCAACCUGGGACCGGAGCAGGCGGCGCUCGCCCAAUCCCAGCAUUUCGAUCAGCUGGAGGCGCUGUGGAACAAACGUUCGCCGCCCCGACGACGUCACAAUGCGGGUCUGUCGCGGCAGACGUCGCUGGUGGAGGACCGGUUAGAGUCCUCCGACGAUGAUGAGUAUCAGGAUGAGCGCGCAGACGAUUUCGACGAGUUCUUUUAGGCUCAAACAAAAACUAAUCAAAUAGAGGGUUACCAAUUGGUUUAGUCACGUUCAAAAUCCGCAUUACCUUUCAAAGAUACAAGCAUACCUCACUGCAAGUGCUGAAAUAUUUUUGAGAGCUCUACAUAACUAUAUUAAAUACACUACAUAAAUAAUUAAAGGCUGCAUAAGGCAAAUAAUCAAAUAACCAGCUACACAUCUAAUAAGAAACAAAAAACAAGCAACCAAAUGAAAUUAUAUCUUAGAUUGUACUUAGUUGUUGGCCACGCCCACCCGCUGCAAACGGAGCUGCGAAUGAGCUAAAAUCAUUUCGCUACAGGAGGAGGAGGAUACCACAAAGGAUAAGCUGUAAGGCUGUAAGGCGCCCUGGCUUAAAUAUAAAGGUUAAUUACACUAGCUAAUAAGUAAAUGUUUUAAUCGGUAAGCAAUAAUUGAGCAACUACUUAGCUGCAACUUAGACUCUCUCCCUCCCAAGUGAUCUGUUAUAUAUUUUCUAAAGCAUUAAUUGUUUACAUUUCUUUUUUUGGAAAUUAAGCCCAGGUUUGUUGACUCGAGUAAAACUCAAAAUUCUUUUUAUUUGCUUCGUUUUUUCCCCUCUACAAAAUUGUAGUCUGUAGUUUCUAAAAAGCAAAAACCACCGUCUCAGACUUUAUAUAGAACCUAGCAUAUAUACAUGAUAAGUGAGCCAUUUUGAAAUUUUAAUGUUGUAGAGUGUUUUGUGUACUCGUCAAAAAUAACUCGAGCUAUAUGUUGUUGUUCAUAUAUAUUGAUAUAUAUAUAUAUAUAUAUAGUUUGUAGAGAUAUUAUCGAGGAAGAACCACAAAACUUGAAGGGGUUAAAAGCGUAACUAUGCUUAAAAUAAACACAAAAAGAUACAAAAUGCAGAAAUAAAAACUGUAAUUGUCACAAUAUUAAUAUGCCACAAAACCAUAAAUUUAUGGACAACAUUUAAUCAAACAAAAAAAACAUAAAGAAAACUUAAACAUUUGCAGCACAUUUGAUUUCAGAUUUGUAUAUAAGUAUUAAUGUAUGUGUGCAAUAUGGAGAAAAGCAAAAUACGAAUUGUUUAACACAUAUCCAUAGCGAAGCGUUUAAAUAUUUGUAUAACUGUGCAUUAGUUUAAGCAUUAAACUCUGUUCUAAGCGCACUUAUUUUCUAUCAGUUCCGCACGCACCCUAGUUAACUCUUCAAUAACUCUCUGACAAUCAGAAGUUCUUGCCUAGAACAAAAAAAAAAACAAACAAACAAAGUAUAAAGGAAAAACAAAACACAAAGCGCGAAAUGUUUUAACACAAAGCGAUAUUU